Molecule: ribosomal RNA, 433 nt
Filed under: uncultured bacterium
Lineage: Bacteria
Description: partial 16S ribosomal RNA
Rfam family: Bacterial small subunit ribosomal RNA
Source: RNAcentral
AACGAACGCUGGCGGCAUGCCUAACACAUGCAAGUCGAACGAGACCUUCGGGUAUAGUGGCGCACGGGUGCGUAACGCGUGGGAACCUGCCCUUAGGUUCGGAAUAACUCCCCGAAAGGGGUGCUAAUACCGGAUAAUGUCUUCGGACCAAAGAUUUAUCGCCUUUGGAUGGGCCCGCGUUGGAUUAGCUAGUUGGUAGGGUAAAAGCCUACCAAGGCGACGAUCCAUAGCUGGUCUGAGAGGAUGAUCAGCCACACUGGGACUGAGACACGGCCCAGACUCCUACGGGAGGCAGCAGUGGGGAAUAUUAGACCAUGGGCGAAAGCCUGAUCCAGCAAUGCCGCGUGAGUGAUGAAGGCCUUAGGGUUGUAAAGCUCUUUUACCCGGGAUGAUAAUGACAGUACCGGGAGAAUAAGCUCCGGCUAACUCCGUG